RNAcentral lists this ribosomal RNA (477 nucleotides) under uncultured organism. RNAcentral describes it as "partial 16S ribosomal RNA". It matches the Rfam family "Bacterial small subunit ribosomal RNA", at positions 332 to 800 of the family's 1533-position model. The record is from RNAcentral.
UACACUCCUGCGGGAGGCAGCAGUGGGGAAUUUUGGACAAUGGGCGAAAGCCUGAUCCAGCAAUGCCGCGUGAGUGAAGAAGGCCUUCGGGUUGUAAAGCUCUUUUGUCAGGGAAGAAACGGUGAAAGCUAAUAUCUUUUGCUAAUGACGGUACCUGAAGAAUAAGCACCGGCUAACUACGUGCCAGCAGCCGCGGUAAUACGUAGGGUGCAAGCGUUAAUCGGAAUUACUGGGCGUAAAGCGUGCGCAGGCGGUUUUGUAAGUCUGAUGUGAAAUCCCCGGGCGCAACCUGGGAAUUGCAUUGGAGACUGCAAGGCUAGAAUCUGGCAGAGGGGGGUAGAAUUCCACGUGUAGCAGUGAAAUGCGUAGAUAUGUGGAGGAACACCGAUGGCGAAGGCAGCCCCCUGGGUCAAGAUUGACGCUCAUGCACGAAAGCGUGGGGAGCAAACAGGAUUAGAAACCCCGGUAGUCCCAUGA